CCUCAGGGCCCCGCCCCGCCGCCCGCUCGCCCCGGGCGGGAGGUGGCGCGGAGGCAGCGCCGAGCUUUGCCGUGCCCUGCUGGAGAAGCCCGUUUUAGCUAACGAGCCAUGAGGUGAAUAAAAGAAAUCCUCGAGAUUUGUUUUUUUUAAAAAAAGAAAAAAAAAAGGUCUGCGUAACGCUGCUGUUUAGAUCGGGUGUGUCUUUGCUGCGCCGCUGAAGGGCAGGUGCUUCUGCUCGGGCCGCGAGGGGUUCCCGCCUGACGGCCUCCAGUCCAGGGCGCCUUGGGGAAUCGCGGAAUUUGGUGAAAACUGGCAGAGGGAUAAACAGCCAUGACUGACACGAGGAGGAGGCUUUCCGCGGCGGCGGCGUUGCCUUCCGAGGGCGCUCAGCGCAGGAAGGAAGUCGCGUCUUGUGUGGGGAGCUGACCUGGUGUGACAGCCACGCCGGAGAGCCUGAGAGCACCGGCAGCGAGAGCAGUAACGUGCAAAAGCCUGGUUUGAAAUCAGUGGAAAGACUUUCCAUUUUCUCCACAAAAAAACUUAAAAGCAACAGCAGCAUGUUAAUAAGGGAGCAUAUUAGCAUUUCUAGUGAACGUCGGAGGUCACUCUCAAAUCACCAUUCGGUGGUGUUCCUGAGUGAUCUGUCUUUAUACACUUUCCCAUUUUAAGGGUCUGGUUCCAUGAUAUUUUUGCACAUGGUCUGAAUCCGUCCUGCCUUUCACAGGGCCCCGUGAAUCACGCGGGAGUCCCUACCCGCCGGCCUUCCCAACCAGGAGAGGACAACAGGAAGAGCUGUGAGAGGAAAACUAUAAAUAAAGUGGGAUGUUUUAGUUCGAGUUCUGUAGUUGUGUUUCUACAAGCCUGAGCUAAGCUUCUCCAAGUACUGAGCAGACUGCGAGCUAGAAAACAGCUUCAUUUCGGGGGUGGAUUCUGCAGCUUUCCUUCGUCUUUGCAGUCUUUCAGUGCUCACCGUGGAGGAGAUACAGGAAAACAGCUUUCCGUAUAGCUAGCCCGGUUUGUCCAUGCUGAAUGACAGCAAAGCAUCACCAGUCCUCUAGGGACAGAGAGAGAACAGAGACAUUUGCAUUGCCUACGUAUUUUCUGCUCUCGUCCUAACUGGACCCUGACAGAGGCACUGGACUUGCCCAGGUCAUGGACAGAAGAAUCCAUGUAAAAGGAUUUUAGUGGUAUUUGAAGGAUGAUAGGAGCUCUUACAAAUGCAAGCGUGUGGACACCUUGGGGCCUAGAAGAUACCAGAUGAAGACUAAAGCUAGAAGGAAGAGCUACAAAAUUUCUUCAGGACUCUCAAAUAUACCAGGAGCACGAAGCAUUCCCGUGCAUCAUAUGCAGCAACAGUACGGGGACACCCUUGGCUGGACUCCGUUUGCUGUGAAUAAAGAAUUUUUGCAGAUUUGGAGUGUCACUGCUGGGCCAGCAUCCAGUGAAAGGGUUACCUACAAAUGUCCACAGCUAGUAUCAGAGGAAAGGCUAUAGCUCCUCCCACCGCUUUCGCCCAUUUUUUCUCCCUUUCAGCUUUCCUGGGUUCUUGUUCCUUAGGACCAGGUAUGAACCAGAAAUUCCCCUGUCAAAUACCUUCUUUUGGGGGCAGCUUGCAGACAAAAUUUAAGAUUAGCAGCAAGCACCCCUCCACACACCGCUCUCUUAGUGUGGGUCUGUGCUCCCAAGACACUAACACCAGCCCUAGGCCAGUCGCUCCAUCCCCCCAGCAGACUCCCUGUCCCCAGGAAAGCUGCCGAGGAGAGCUCCAGCUCUCGCACAGGAAGGCUGCGAGAAGGGGAAGAUUUACAGCAAGAGAUGUUUUUCCUAAUUUCUGUGACUAAUAUAACAGUUUACAAGCAAUUUCUUUUGGAGAUCUCUCCUGAUUGAUGAGCAAACCUGCAUAGUAAGAGCAGCAGUUAUGGCGGAGGUGCUUGAGGGGGAGGAGAGCUGCCAGAACAGCCACCUGAAGGUGCUGAGCUCCAGUCAACUGCUGUCACUCUGUUCUCAGAUUAAUUCACCAUCAGUGAUCCAAUGGUUAAUGCAGUCAUUGUGGGUAUGUCUGCUAAAAGCUCAACCCUUCACAAUGUUACAGAAAUAAGAUCUUCUAGGGGAUGAUGUAUUUUGGCUUUUUUUUCUUUAAAUACCUUCAGAUUAAUGUUCUCCAUAUGCAUAUAAAACAGUAUGCACUAUAUGCUCUUUGCCAAUGCCUAAAAUGUUGAUAAAACCAGGGAAACCUAUUGUUCUGACUAGGGCACAGGACUGAGGGGCAGCACUUGCACUCUCGUCUUCAUGUCUCUCUCAUUUUUAUGCAAGAUGUUUAGCAAAUCCCCUUUUCUUAGUGUUGCUCUCUUAUUCCAUUAGGAAACUUGGAAUAGUAAAUAAUUGCUGCCAAAAGUUGAAUUCA
Dromaius novaehollandiae (emu) is the source of this 2404-nucleotide long non-coding RNA. RefSeq lists it as uncharacterized. Lineage: Eukaryota; Metazoa; Chordata; Aves; Casuariiformes; Dromaiidae. The transcript has 4 exons. The record is from RefSeq and is a predicted model, not a curated record.